UCAAUCUGGCUCAGAGUUCUCAGACCAAGUCUAGAUCUCUUUGGCAGCCAUGAUCAAUCACAAGAAGCUCGUUGCCAUGGCAAGAAAAUGGCAGAAGUUGGCUGCCAUCGGCAGGAGAAGGAUUUCAUCAGCAAGGGCUACAAUGCACCGAAGAAGUGCAGCGAAUUGGUGGCCGAUGAUUAAGGGCCAUUUCGUUGUGUAUACUGCUGAUAAUGGACGUUUUGUCAUUCCCUUGGCUUAUCUAAGCAACCCCAUCUUUAUAGAGUUACUCAGAAUAUCUGAAGAAGAGUUUGGUCUACCAAGCGAUGGGCCCAUUACGUUGCCCUGCGAUGCAGUCUUUGUGGAGUACAUCAUCUCCAUAGCUACUUGUCGGUGCCUGCCAUCUUCAUCUCUCCAUCAACAACCUAACCCACCUCUACUUGUCAAUUAGUUUUGAAUUUGAAGUAGUCUCACUACCAUUUGAGACUAAUUUCUACUUCAAUUUUACACAUUUGUACAUAACGAUUGACAAUGUAAAUUUUUGAGGCAAUACAAAUAUAUAUUCUUUAUUCCUAAAUUUUACUUCACACAUUCCCAUUUCAAGUGUUUGGUUGACGGAAUGGAAAUUCCAUUCCCACUCUAGGCAGAAUGAGAAUCCCCCGUAUGGGAGAAUGGCCAUUCCAGUUUAUCGUUUAACGUUUAAGGUUUCAGUUUUUUUUUUGACAAAAAUAACCCUUUCAUUUUCAACACUAGACAAAGAGAGCUGUCACCGAACAGAGGCUGCGAGCAGAACUCCAAAUGAUCUUCUGUCACUGAACUGACCUCCGGCGAGAUCCUCCCCUGCUCUAUUCGGUAUCGAUCUACAUCUUCACUGCUACCAUUAACGAGCUUUUCACACUAGCUAAACGAGGGGUUGCUGGGCAAAUUUACCAAAGCACCAUCUUUGAGCAAAGACUGAAUGCGGAAAUAUGAUCAAAAGGCCUUUUAUGCUGGUAGCAGAAGGUGGAAAUGAUCUUCCAUGGCCCCCAAUUCUCAAGUUGAAGCACACCGUAACUUCUCAGUGAUCAAGAGCUUGCGACAAAGUGAGAACUUGCAGGUGAAAGAGGAACUGUAUAAACAAAGGAGCACAGUUGUGAAGAUAAGCAGUGAUGAAGAGAAAGGAAUGCUUAGCACAACUAACUGAUUGCUCUGAUUGUAUAUUCCUAAUGUGCAGUCCCUUAUUUGUAAAGAGAUACUCGCACAGUGAAUCCAACUAUGUAAAUAGGUGGUGGUCUCUAGAUCAUACAAGACUUCCUGUCAUCCUUCUAAGGACACUCUUUUGUGGGGUGGAUAAUCAUCUUACGGCUUCAUUUAUGUUGAUUAACCCAAUCUUAUUCAUGGAAGGCAACAUGUUGAUAGUAUGAGUUCCAUGAUUGGACUUUGAAGGACAAUCUUGUGAACUAAUGAAA
Molecule: non-coding RNA, 1427 nt
Organism: Nelumbo nucifera (sacred lotus)
Lineage: Eukaryota; Viridiplantae; Streptophyta; Magnoliopsida; Proteales; Nelumbonaceae
Source: RefSeq, a predicted model, not a curated record